RNAcentral lists this ribosomal RNA (353 nucleotides) under Myurella multistriata. RNAcentral's name for it is "Clathroterebra multistriata partial 12S ribosomal RNA". Lineage: Eukaryota; Metazoa; Mollusca; Gastropoda; Neogastropoda; Terebridae. The record is from RNAcentral.
ACCAGAGUACUAUGAAUAUUUAAAGAUUUAAAACUCAAAGAACUUGGCGGNNNNUUUAGACCACUCAGGGGAACCUGUCUCGUAAUCGACAAUCCACGUUGUACCUGACCUUUUUUUGUUUUCAGUUUGUAUACCGUUGUCGUCAGGUAACUUUUUAGAAAUUAGAAGUUAGCAGUAAAAAUAUUGAUGAUUUAGUACGUCAAAUCAAGGUGCAGCUAAUAAAAAGGGGAGGAUGGGUUACAAUUAUAUGAUUUAUAAUAACGGAUAAACAUACGAAUGUAUGUUAAAUUAUAAGGCGGACUUGAAAGUAAAUUGGAAUAUGUAAGUAAUUUGAAUGAGGCUCUGAAACGUGU